RNAcentral lists this ribosomal RNA (203 nucleotides) under uncultured bacterium. RNAcentral describes it as "partial 16S ribosomal RNA". It matches the Rfam family "Bacterial small subunit ribosomal RNA", at positions 524 to 724 of the family's 1533-position model. The record is from RNAcentral.
UACGUAGGGUGCAAGCGUUAAUCGGAAUUACUGGGCGUAAAGCGUGCGCAGGCGGUUAUGUAAGACAGGUGUGAAAGCCCUGGGCUUAACCUAGGAAUUGCGCUUGAGACUGGAUAGCUUGGAGUGCGGCAGAGGGAGGUGGGAAUUCCACGUGUAGCAGUGAAAUGCGUAGAGAUGUGGAGGAACACCGAUGGCGAAGGCAG